Molecule: non-coding RNA, 81 nt
Organism: Hysterangium stoloniferum
Lineage: Eukaryota; Fungi; Basidiomycota; Agaricomycetes; Hysterangiales; Hysterangiaceae
Source: the annotation of a GenBank genome assembly
GGUCAGGUGGUAUAGUGGUUAGCACCCUUGCUAUAUACAUAUGUAUGUGAAAGACCCUGGGUUCAAUAUCCAAUCUGGCCA